GGUCUUCUCCUGGGCAGCCCUGGAACGGGGUCUAAUACCGGAUAACACUCUGUCCCGCAUGGGACGGGGUUAAAAGCUCCGGCGGUGAAGGAUGAGCCCGCGGCCUAUCAGCUUGUUGGUGGGGUAAUGGCCUACCAAGGCGACGACGGGUAGCCGGCCUGAGAGGGCGACCGGCCACACUGGGACUGAGACACGGCCCAGACUCCUACGGGAGGCAGCAGUGGGGAAUAUUGCACAAUGGGCGAAAGCCUGAUGCAGCGACGCCGCGUGAGGGAUGACGGCCUUCGGGUUGUAAACCUCUUUCAGCAGGGAAGAAGCGAAAGUGACGGUACCUGCAGAAGAAGCGCCGGCUAACUACGUGCCAGCAGCCGCGGUAA
Molecule: ribosomal RNA, 377 nt
Filed under: Streptomyces virginiae
Lineage: Bacteria; Bacillati; Actinomycetota; Actinomycetes; Kitasatosporales; Streptomycetaceae
Description: bacterial SSU rRNA
Rfam family: Bacterial small subunit ribosomal RNA
Source: RNAcentral